This is a long non-coding RNA of Mytilus californianus (California mussel), 919 nucleotides long. RefSeq lists it as uncharacterized. The transcript is spliced from 2 exons. The record is from RefSeq and is a predicted model, not a curated record. Lineage: Eukaryota; Metazoa; Mollusca; Bivalvia; Mytilida; Mytilidae.
UUACAUCCACUUCAUUUGAACUUUGGUGGAUAGUUGUCUCAUUGGCAAUCAUACCGCAUCUCCUUAUUUUUAUACGACCGCAAAAAAAUUUUUGUGGUCGUAUAUUGGUAUGACGUUGGCGUCGUCGUCGUCGUCCGGCGUCGUCGUCCGAAGACGCAUUAGUUUUCGCACUCUAACUUUAGUUUAAGUAAAUGGAUCUCUGUGAAAUUUUACCAUAAGGUUCAAUACCACAAAAGGAAGGUGGGGAUUGAUUUUGGGGGUUAUGGUACCAACAGUUAAGGAAUUAGGGGCCAAAAAGGGGCCAAAAAUAAGCAUUUUCUAGUUUCCAGACAAUAACUGUGGAACGGUGUAUGGAUCUCUCUGAAAUUAUACUACAAGUUUCCAUACCACAAAGGGAUGGUUAGGAUUUGCUUUGGGGGGUUAUGGCUCAAACCGUUUAAGAAUUAGGGGCAAAAAAGGGGGAAAAACAAGGUUGUCCUGGUUAAUGGACAAAUACUUUAGUACAAAACAUAAUUUAAAGCAGUGUAAGGGAGAUAAAUCAAAUACAUCAUUGAAAUUAUCUCCCUUACACUGCUUUUAAAUUAUGUAUAAAGUAAUGGUUAAUGAACAAUUAAGAUAAUUUAAAACAGUGUAAGGGAGGUAAUCCAAAUACAACGUUUUGGUUACUUCCCUUACACUGCUUUUAAAUUAUGUUUAAAGAAAUGCAUAUUUAUAAAGGAAGACCAGUAAAAAUAUCUGCAAAUGUUGCAUCAUUUUAUUUUACAAAAAAAUCUAUAUGAAAGAUUUGACACUAUAUUUUUAAUUCUUUUAUAAAAUAGAUUAAGUUAGCACUAUGGUAAAAUUAAAUGGGUAAUUAUGGUUGCCAACUCCAUUGGAAAUUUGAAUUGAGAUUAUGACCAUAUCUUGAGGGAAAGAAUUU